UGGACUUCCCACGUGUCCUUCAAAGAAAGCAAUUAUUUUUGCCUAUUUUCUGAGUAUGAUGGUAUUCUCCAUUUGAUUUAACAAAAAAAUUCUUCCUCUGCUUUAAAAGACUGAAAGCCUCCCUGUAAGGUGCUGAUUGCCUUCCAGAUCUGAGGACCCCGUCUCUGCCUCAUUCCUCCUGUUUCCAUCAGAAGACACAGGUCUGGGACUCAGCGCAGCUGACCUGUCUGUCCCUCUCUGCACAGUUUACUCCUGGGCUCUGCAGAGAGAAGUCAGUGCCUCAAUUUUCCAUUGAAAUAUGCACCCUUGGCAUCCUGGCAGAGGAGGAAGGUGAGUCCUGGAGGAGGGAACAGACUCCCGGGGACACACGGCAAGGAUUCCAGCCUGGGCCCAUUUUGGUAGCGCUCCCUCACGGUGACAGAUCCAGCCAGUGCGCCAGCAGACGCCCUUCACGGAAACCUCACGUAAAGGCUGAGUUAGUGCUGUCUCAGACGACUGCAGCG
Molecule: long non-coding RNA, 503 nt
Filed under: Homo sapiens (human)
Lineage: Eukaryota; Metazoa; Chordata; Mammalia; Primates; Hominidae
Description: non-protein coding lnc-USP10-1:1
Source: RNAcentral